AAGGCCCCUUCGGGGGUACACGAGUGGCGAACGGGUGAGUAACACGUGGGUAAUCUGCCCUGCACUUCGGGAUAAGCCUGGGAAACUGGGUCUAAUACCGGAUAUGAACUCCUGCCGCAUGGUGGGGGUUGGAAAGUUUUUCGGUGCAGGAUGAGCCCGCGGCCUAUCAGCUUGUUGGUGGGGUAAUGGCCUACCAAGGCGACGACGGGUAGCCGGCCUGAGAGGGUGAUCGGCCACACUGGGACUGAGACACGGCCCAGACUCCUACGGGAGGCAGCAGUGGGGAAUAUUGCACAAUGGGCGAAAGCCUGAUGCAGCGACGCCGCGUGGGGGAUGACGGUCUUCGGAUUGUAAACCCCUUUCAGUAGGGACGAAGCGCAAGUGACGGUACCUGCAGAAGAAGCACCGGCUAACUACGUGCCAGCAGCCGCGGUAAUACGUAGGGUGCGAGCGUUGUCCGGAAUUACUGGGCGUAAAGAGCUCGUAGGCGGUUUGUCACGUCGUCUGUGAAAUCCCUCGGCUUAACCGGGGGCGUGCAGGCGAUACGGGCAGACUUGAGUACUACAGGGGAGACUGGAAUUCCUGGUGUAGCGGUGAAAUGCGCAGAUAUCAGGAGGAACACCGGUGGCGAAGGCGGGUCUCUGGGUAGUAACUGACGCUGAGGAGCGAAAGCAUGGGUAGCGAACAGGAUUAGAUACCCUGGUAGUCCAUGCCGUAAACGGUGGGCGCUAGGUGUGGGGUCCUUCCACGGACUCCGUGCCGUAG
Molecule: ribosomal RNA, 765 nt
Filed under: Dietzia sp.
Lineage: Bacteria; Bacillati; Actinomycetota; Actinomycetes; Mycobacteriales; Dietziaceae
Description: bacterial SSU rRNA
Rfam family: Bacterial small subunit ribosomal RNA
Source: RNAcentral